UACGUAGGGCGCAAGCGUUAUCCGGAAUUAUUGGGCGUAAAGAGCUUGUAGGCGGUUUGUCGCGUCUGCCGUGAAAAUCCGGGGCUCAACUCCGGGCCUGCAGCCGAUACGGGCAGACUAGAGUUCGGCAGGGGAGACUGGAAUUCCUGGUGUAGCGGUGAAAUGCGCAGAUAUCAGGAGGAACACCGGUGGCGAAGGCGGGUCUCUGGGCCGAUACUGACGCUGAGGUGCGAAAGCGUGGGGAGCAAACAGG
Molecule: ribosomal RNA, 253 nt
Filed under: uncultured bacterium
Lineage: Bacteria
Description: partial 16S ribosomal RNA
Rfam family: Bacterial small subunit ribosomal RNA
Source: RNAcentral